Molecule: ribosomal RNA, 478 nt
Filed under: uncultured soil bacterium
Lineage: Bacteria
Description: bacterial SSU rRNA
Rfam family: Bacterial small subunit ribosomal RNA
Source: RNAcentral
AGGAUUAACGCUGGCGGCGUGCCUAAUGCAUGCAAGUCGAACGCGGGCGCCUUCGGGUGCUUGGCGUGGCGGACGGGUGAGGAACACGUGGGCAAGGUGCCCUGAGGUGGGGGGUAGCCCUCGGAAACGAGGGGUAAUUCCGCAUGAGCUGCUUGACUGGUGGGGUUGAGCAGGAAAGGGACGCAAGUCUCGCCUUGGGAGCCGCCUGCGGCCGAUUAGCUAGUUGGUGGGGUCAGGCUUACCAAGGCGGUGAUCGGUAGCUGGUCUGAGAGGACGGCCAGCCACACGGGGACUGAGACACGGCCCCGACUCCUACGGGAGGCAGCAGCAAGGAAUUUCCGCAAUGGGCGCAAGCCUGACGGAGCAACGCCGCGUGGGGGAGACGCUUUCGGAGUCGUAAACCCUUCGUUUCUGGGGACGACGACCGACGGUACCCGAGGAAGAAGGACCGGCUAACGUACGUGCCCAGCCAGGCCGC